Physcomitrium patens is the source of this 2014-nucleotide non-coding RNA. The record is from RefSeq and is a predicted model, not a curated record. NCBI's taxonomy places the organism in Eukaryota, Viridiplantae, Streptophyta, Bryopsida, Funariales, Funariaceae.
GAAGUGGAAAACUCAUUUUUGAAUUAAUAGAAAAAGUGAAAUUGACUUCGAAUUGUUUGUAAGAAGAAUCAAUGCCAAGUUCUAUAAAAUCACAUUAAAAGACAUCAUGAUGUUAAAUAACGCACCACAAACAAAGACCGAUACAAUUCCAAAUAGUAAAAGAACAACAAAAAGAUUACAAAUAUUACAAUAAAAAUCUCCAAAAAAUUCCAAUCAAUUUUUUCAACUAUGACUUGAAAAUGUUAUACUUAACCCUAAAACCCCUCAAUUGGGUUCAAAGUUGUUCAUCCUUGUUUGAUUGUGAAUGAGUCAAAUUGCGAAACCAUCUGAUGAUCGCAGUUGCCGCGGAUCAUCCGAUCAAGGCUUCGACGGUGCGGAAAUUUGAGUCUGCGGGAUCCGGAAGCAUGAUCGGUUCAUUGCUCUCGCACUGCAUGACGCUGAAAACCAAGCUAGCUGCUGCGAGAGAAAGGCAUCGUGAUCAGUUUCGUCGACUUUGUGCACAAUUGUGAAGCACGCAGUCCGUCUCCAUGAUUCCCCUUGGAAGAGAAUAGAUGAGAAAUCCGACUGGUCACCAAUAUCCCGUCGAAGCGUGGAUGACGUUAUGAAAGCGUUGUCCGAACACUAGGUUUGUUAGGCGCCCGAAGAAUCGCCACGGGCCUCAGAUUUAGCUUCACCAUAUCCGAACAUUAGGCUUAGGGCUCAUAUGCGGCUAUGUCAACCACUUUUGUGGACAGAGCUCACGACCACCUCGGCACACUCUCCAUGGCAAAAUCAAGAUGAACGGUGAAGGUCGUCUUUAUGCUCUUCCGUGCAACAUCUGUACCAGAAGCUUCCAAGUGUGAUUUUCUGUCGUCUUGCUGACGCGAAUCUUCGAAUAUUUGUUUCUGGCACGAAAAUACCUAUUUGCAACGAACUAAAAGUUUGAAUCGGGAAUCAUGGAACUCAUGAAAUUUCGGAGAGGAGUAGCGAGAAGAUGCGAAGAGCUUGGUAGCUUAAAACUUGAAGCAACGUCCGCGUCUAAAAAAGCCCUGUAAUCGAUCGAACAUUGCUAAUCAUCUCAGAGCCAUGCUGAACCUCAAGAAGUUCUACAUAACGGCUCCACACACCCGCACUGCUACCGCCUCGAACUCAUCACAACUGGGGGUGGAUUUCUAUCCUGAUUGCGAAAUUUCCGUGUAAAAUCGAGCUACCACCGGAUCUGUCGAUAGGAAAGUCCGGUCAGGGCAACAACGCAGCACAGGUCUCCGCUUAAGAAACAAAAAAUCCACGCAAAGGAGGUGUCUGUCCCUACCACCUGACUAAAAUCACACAGAGUCCAAUUCCGUAUUCAAAACCAAGCUUCGCUUUCCCGUUGUCCUUACACUCGUCCUCUGUCUUGCUGAAGCCAUCUCCUCCUUGGAUUUCUUUAACAUCACUCGGAUGCGAUGGAAUCACCUUUGCAAUUGGAGCCUGUACACCCGUUGAUCAAUGCGAGCCGGCAGAUCAAAUUCCAAAAGCCUCAGAGCUAUGCACAGAAAUGGUGUAGCUCACGCUCAGAGAGCACCUGCGGUUUCGCCAAGCCAAGAAUUUCCAUGGAAACAGGCUGGAUAACAAUUCAUCGCACUGAAUUAAAAACAAAUCCUGUUCCGAAUUAGGUUUGAGCGUUCCAGACGGAGAUGCCCACUGCUGCAUCAUCUAUCACGUUUAGAAUUUUAGGGUUUGACAGGAUGAGCGGCAACAGGAGCCAGAUGCAUAAGCUGGCGAUUGUGGAGGGGACUCAUUGAAAGUGUUGCACUGUGAAAAAGGACGUGUGAAUUAAGAGAUGAGUUUUUCCUCGAACUCUUUUAAUGUAAAAGAGCGUUUGAUUUAUUUUAUUUUAUUUUAUUUGUGUGUGUGUGUAAGUGUGUGGUGCUAUUUUGUAAGGUACGGUUUGUUUGUUUUGUUUUGUUUUGUUUUUUUUCUUGACUGAACGCAUUUUUAAUAUUGCUGAACACAAGUUUAAUCCAUAAUAAUAUUUAUAAUUUACAUAAAUUAA